Molecule: non-coding RNA, 96 nt
Filed under: Rheinheimera pacifica
Lineage: Bacteria; Pseudomonadati; Pseudomonadota; Gammaproteobacteria; Chromatiales; Chromatiaceae
Description: GEMM cis-regulatory element
Rfam family: c-di-GMP-I riboswitch aptamer
About the family: GEMM was predicted in a large-scale screen for bacterial structured RNA regulatory elements. Genes associated with GEMM are involved in a diverse array of functions, including chemotaxis regulation, signal transduction, secretion and chitin.
Source: RNAcentral
UCGCUCGAAAGGCAAGUCUUCCGAAAGGAAGUACACGCAAAGCUUCAGGUCUAAGGGUUGUCAAGUAAUGACAUCUACGAUAGCUGGGCUGCCGUC